AGUGAACGCUGGCGGUAGGCCUAACACAUGCAAGUUGAACGGCAGCACAGUAAGAGCUUGCUCUUACGGGUGGCGAGUGGCGGACGGGUGAGGAAUACAUCGGAAUCUACUUUUUCGUGGGGGAUAACGUAGGGAAACUUACGCUAAUACCGCAUACGACCUACGGGUGAAAGCAGGGGAUCUUCGGACCUUGCGCGAUUGAAUGAGCCGAUGUCGGAUUAGCUAGUUGGCGGGGUAAAGGCCCACCAAGGCGACGAUCCGUGGCUGGUCUGAGAGGAUGAUCAGCCACACUGGAGCUGAGACACGGUCCAGACUCCUACGGGAGGCAGCAGUGGGGAAUAUUGGACAAUGGGCGCAAGCCUGAUCCAGCCAUACCGCGUGGGUGAAGAAGGCCUUCGGGUUGUAAAGCCCUUUUGUUGGGAAAGAAAAGCAGCAGGUUAAUACCCCGCUGUUCUGACGGUACCCAAAGAAUAAGCACCGGCUAACUUCGUG
Molecule: ribosomal RNA, 492 nt
Filed under: uncultured bacterium
Lineage: Bacteria
Description: partial 16S ribosomal RNA
Rfam family: Bacterial small subunit ribosomal RNA
Source: RNAcentral